UGUGAAGUCAUUGAUGCCAUGCUUCCAGGAAAAGCCUCUAAGCUUCAGAUUGUAAGGAAUCGUACCCCAAACCGACACAGGUGGUCGGGUAGAGAAUACCAAGGCGCUUGAGAGAACUCGGGUGAAGGAACUAGGCAAAAUGGUACCGUAACUUCGGGAGAAGGUACGCUCUCGACGGUGAAGUCCCUCGCGGAUGGAGCUAUUGAGAGUCGCAGAUACCAGGUGGCUGCAACUGUUUAUUAAAAACACAGCACUGUGCAAAAUCGUAAGAUGACGUAUACGGUGUGACGCCUGCCCGGUGCCGGAAGGUUAAUUGAUGGGGUUAGACUUCGGUCGAAGCUCUUGAUCGAAGCCCCGGUAAACGGCGGCCGUAACUAUAACGGUCCUAAGGUAGCGAAAUUCCUUGUCGGGUAAGUUCCGACCUGCACGAAUGGCGUAAUGAUGGCCACGCUGUCUCCACCCGAGACUCAGUGAAAUUGAAAUCGCUGUGAAGAUGCAGUGUACCCGCGGCUAGACGGAAAGACCCCGUGAACCUUUACUACAGCUUGGCACUGAACAUUGACCCUACAUGUGUAGGAUAGGUGGGAGGCUUUGAAGCACGUACGCCAGUAUGUGUGGAGCCGUCCUUGAAAUACCACCCUUGUAGUGUUGAUGUUCUAACGUCGACCCCUUAUCGGGGUUGCGGACAGUGCCUGGUGGGUAGUUUGACUGGGGCGGUCUCCUCCCAAAGAGUAACGGAGGAGCACGAAGGUGGGCUAAUCACGGUUGGACAUCGUGAGGUUAGUGCAAUGGCAUAAGCCCGCUUGACUGCGAGAAUGACAAUUCGAGCAGGUGCGAAAGCAGGUCAUAGUGAUCCGGUGGUUCUGAAUGGAAGGGCCAUCGCUCAACGGAUAAAAGGUACUCCGGGGAUAACAGGCUGAUACCGCCCAAGAGUUCAUAUCGACGGCGGUGUUUGGCACCUCGAUGUCGGCUCAUCACAUCCUGGGGCUGAAGUCGGUCCCAAGGGUAUGGCUGUUCGCCAUUUAAAGUGGUACGCGAGCUGGGUUUAGAACGUCGUGAGACAGUUCGGUCCCUAUCUGCCGUGGGCGUUGGAAGAUUGAAGGGGGCUGCUCCUAGUACGAGAGGACCGGAGUGGACGAACCUCUGGUGUUCGGGUUGUGUCGCCAGACGCAUUGCCCGGUAGCUAAGUUCGGAAUCGAUAACCGCUGAAAGCAUCUAAGCGGGAAGCGAGCCCUGAGAUGAGUCUUCCCUGAUACUUUAAGUAUCCUAAAGGGUUGUCGGAGACUACGACGUUGAUAGGUCAGGUGUGUAAGUGCUGUGAGGCAUUGAGCUAACUGAUACUAAUUGCCCGUGAGGCUUAACCAU
This 1365-nucleotide ribosomal RNA is filed under the name Vibrio parahaemolyticus. RNAcentral describes it as "partial 23S ribosomal RNA". It matches the Rfam family "Bacterial large subunit ribosomal RNA", at positions 1584 to 2925 of the family's 2925-position model. RNAcentral also lists the same sequence under 1 other name. The record is from RNAcentral. Lineage: Bacteria; Pseudomonadati; Pseudomonadota; Gammaproteobacteria; Vibrionales; Vibrionaceae.